CCAUUCUUGUUUCUUUAUUGCUAAUGGAGCCUUGAUUUUGUCUGAGAGGAAAAGUAAAUAGCCCCAAGAGCUGAACUUAUAGGACUUCUUUAAAUAGCUUCCUCCAAUCUUUUUCUUUUUUUUCUUUUCUUUUUCUGAUCCCUUUAUUAUUGUCUUUAAACAUUUUUAUGUAAGUAGGUAAUGCUGGAGGCUGAAGAAACCAUUUGGAGAUCAUGAAGGGAUAAGGGUAAAAAUAAUGAGACUAAUGAAGUAAACAAGAAAAAUAAUCUGAAAAUUGCAGUACGCUGCCAAGGCACCCUGGAAUUGCCUUUGAAGGGUUUUGUUUGUUUUUUUAUAAAAAUAAUACACAUUCUUUUGGGGUAAACCACUCUUCACCUAUUAUUUGGUACUGAAAGCAAUUCACCUAUUAUUUGGUACUGAAAGCAGUUUAUCAGUUAGAAUUAGAUAAAGCUGUGACUGAUUUAGAAUUUCUCCUACCUAAGACUUAACCUCAUAUAAAAGUCUUUCUUAUAAAAGCCCAUCAUAGGUAGUCUGAGUCAAACAUAGCAUUCGACAAAAUCCUCAGAGAUCCAAGCUUUCCACCUUUCCAUUGCUCCAUCCCAGAAGUGUGAUCUUGUUGCUGGGAUCAAGAUGGCUGCUUGAAUUCCAGCCUUCAUGAAUACAUUCCAACUAGCAGAAAGGAGUGAGGAAAAGAAUAUCCCUCCACUUUUAAGUUCAAGCAGGAGGUUUCAUACAUACACCAUUUCACUCUCAUCACAUUGGAUAGAACUGUUAGCUACAAGAAAGCAAGGAAAUGUCACUUUCAUUCUGGGAGGUCAAACACUCAGCUCAAAAUCAGCAAUUCAAUCAGUAGGAAAAAAAGUGAAGAAUGCAUAGAGGAAGACACAUACAGUAGAUGAACCCACAUGUGUCUGACUCCAAAGCCAUGUACUUAACUGCAAUAGUCCACUGUCUCUAGUAGCUAAUUAGACUAUAUAACAAUAGGGGAAAUCUGUUUAUUAUUUUCUAUAUUUUUAAAUUCUUUCACAAAUAUAAAAAGUAAAAUGUUUUUAAUAUGUGGCACAGGAUAAAAUUGUGUAUACAUGAGUAUGGAUAAAAUUAUACUUUCCAAGGUUUGAAGGAGAGGUUGUGUUUGAAUUGGAGAUUUGUCCCUACAUUUCUCUAUUUUUAAAGGCUUUUUAAUAAGCAAGUGAUAUUUUUGUAAUAAAAACAUCUACAUUUGUAUGUGUCUACCAUUUUAAAACCGUAGAGUCAGAAAAUCUUUUUUAUAUGUAGCCACUAGCACAGUCUAUAAGUGGUGGAUUUUAUGAAGAAGAAAAAUGAUAAAUAGGGUGUCAUUUGAUGCUUCAUAAUUUUUGGUUUGUAACCUUCUGGGUCACUGAUUUCUUCAAGAGUUUUCAUUCUUUCCGCACAUUAGUUAGGUGAUUGAGGAAGGUGUCAGACUACCAAAACAUAGGAAAAGAUGAUGUGGAGGAAUUAAAUUCUGCUUUUCUUUUGGCUGAGUAUACAAAACACACAAUAUGAUUUGGUGGUUCUGUGUGUAUUAACCUCUGUCUGCUGUGGGCAGUGUUGAGAAGAUACUGUCAUUGGCAUUCAAAUGAGAUAUAUUCUUUGUUUAAAAUAAGUGCCAUAUUGAUUUAAUGAAAUCAGUGCUAAGAACUGAUGGAAUGGUAAGGACAAAGAAACCUGAGAAAAGGGAAGAAGGAGUUGCUGGUUCAUUGUGACUAAGGAGUAUGUUAAGAUAAGAGGUAGGAAGAAAUGAUAUUGGAGGAACAUUAUGACUAUUAGAUAUCAGUCCAAGAGAGCUUCAUCACUGUUCAGUGAGGGCAUGUGCAUAGGUUUCUUAAGUGGUAGAAGAAGUGAUUGGUAGCACAUGUCAAGGAGGAACUGGCCUGGAAUGUAAGUGAUGUAUAUCUUGAAACAUUAUAGGUAUAUGUUGUAUAAGCUGUACUUAUUGCUAUCUUUUAUAUGUGCUUGCUUGCUGACUUUUUAAGAGAAAAAUGAAUAAAAACUUAACAUUUAAAAUGAUUUAAACCAGUGAGCUCAUAGGUAAUUUCAAUGAAAUAGAUAAAAAUCUCUAUUUAACUUCUUAAAUGAUAAAGAGCUAUCUUUAUUAUAAAAAAGAAUGAUAAAGCUAACUUUUGUUUGGUUAGUAUCCACUUUGCAGUCCAAUGAAGUGAAUAUACAAACCUUAUUCUUAUUCACCAACAAUUCACCAACAAGUCUAUGGCUCAUUUCUCCUUAUUUACAUUCAAAGGUUCAGUAGAAAUUUCAUAUCCAUGUACAUACUAGAGAAAAUGCCCUACCUUUCAAUUUCCCAAUUAAAUCACUCAAGUCCUGUAAAUUGAAGUAUAAUAAAGGUUUGACUGCUCAAUAACAGCAGAAAGAAAAUCUGGGAAUAAAUUUAACCGAAAAAUGAGCAAAUACUAUACGAUGAAACUUAAAAAGCUACUGAAGAUCAGAAAUAACUUGACUAGAUAGAGGGACAUACAGUGUUCUUGAACAAGACACACAUCGUAAAGAUGUCCAUUAUCUUAAGUUCACCUAUAAAAAUUUUGCGAUCCUAUAUAAAAUAUCAAUCCAAGUACAUUUGGAAAGAGAUGAACUGAUACCAAAGUUCAAAUGAAAAAAUAAACAGUCAAAUAGGGCCAUGAAAAUCUUAAAAAGUAAGGUCAUGAAGGGAAGCUAGACCAUCCAGUUAUUAAAAUGUCUUAUAAUGCUUCAGCAAUUAAAACCAUAUAAUAUUGGCAUACAUGCAUGUACAUACACACGAACAUGCACGUAAAAUAUAUGUUCAUAAGUAGAACAGUAUUAAAAGCCCCAAAAGAUACAUAAGCAUAGGAUAAUUUAAUAUAACAUCAGAUAAGUAGAGAAAACAUUAAUUACCUUAUAUAGAACUUUGAAAAAGUAGGAUAAUCAUGUGGAAAAAAAUAAUUUGGAUCCGUAAACUAUCAACACUAUAGAUUAAGAUAAAAAAUUACCCAAUGAAACAUGGGUAAAGGAAAUGUACAAAAAUCUCAAAGAUAAGAACAUACUUUUCAAUCCAACAAAGGCGGUCAGUCUCACUCAUAAUCUGGGAAAUACAGAUCAACAUCAUCUAGAGAUUUUUGUUUUCAUGAAUAAGAUUGACAAAGAUGCAAAAGUCUGAUAAUAGACUGUGUUGGUGAAGGUAUGGAGAAACUGAAUCUCUUCUACCUAUAUGAAAAGCAAUUUGGC
This 3216-nucleotide long non-coding RNA is filed under the name Sus scrofa (pig). RNAcentral describes it as "lncRNA (ENSSSCG00035070565.1)". Lineage: Eukaryota; Metazoa; Chordata; Mammalia; Artiodactyla; Suidae. The record is from RNAcentral.